This 253-nucleotide ribosomal RNA is filed under the name uncultured prokaryote. RNAcentral describes it as "partial 16S ribosomal RNA". It matches the Rfam family "Bacterial small subunit ribosomal RNA", at positions 525 to 777 of the family's 1533-position model. The record is from RNAcentral.
ACGGAGGGGGCAAGCGUUGUUCGGAAUCAUUGGGCGUAAAGGGCGUGUAGGCGGCCGAUCAAGUCGGGUGUGAAAUCCCUCGGCUCAACCGAGGAACUGCACUCGAUACUGGUUGGCUAGAGUUCGGGAUGGGGUGGCGGAAUUCCCAGUGUAGCGGUGAAAUGCGUAGAUAUUGGGAAGAACACCGGUAGCGAAGGCGGCCACCUGGACCGAUACUGACGCUGAGGCGCGAAAGCCAGGGGAGCGAAUGGGA